GGAGAUAACAGACUACACUCGUCGCCGACGCCCGUGCGACGGAACAUUAAAGGGAAUCCGCCGCGCCGUACCGCGGGGGGCUUGCCGCGUAAUAUCAUCGAAAACAUGUAAAUUACACGCGCGAACGACAACGUGUCGGUCACGUGGGUACCGUAUCGCCGUUAAAAUUUAAUCGGUAUCUCCCGGACGACGACGACGACGACGACGUUGACGUUAUUAUCGCGGCCGUCGUCGAAUCAAUACCGAACGGAAUUAUUGAACAGGUAGCUCGCCCGCGCCGGACGGAUUAUACGCGCCGCGUGCGUCUUAACGGGGUUCCAGUGCCCGUCGGCGCGCGCGCCGUGUGAACGACGCGUUUUACGAGACCGAACGCCGCGGCGACCCCCGCAGCGGGUACGGCCAUUGUAAACGUGUCGCGCCCGGUAUAACGCGCGCGUCGACCGCGAAAUCGCGAAACCGCGCGGGGUUUCCGCCGAAACGGCGCGUCCGGGGCCGGGCGAAACGGAAUCGCGCGUCCGAGGACCGGGCGUGACAACCGGGACGACACGUUCGAACGGAACGCGUCGCCGGGGAACGGGACGGUUGCGGUUUGACGAAAAAAAAAAACGUUUUGCGCGCGAACGCGUUAGUUACGGAAAACGGCCGGCCCGCCGUACGCCGGCACCGCGCACUUCGGCAACGGUAUUUGUUCCGGACACGGGGCCACCGUUAGAGACCCCGUGAUACAGCGGCAGGGCGGCCGGAUUAUGCGAAAGCGAACGCGCAGCGGCGUAGACGUUCUCGUUAUUUCCGACGAAACGAUUCGCUGUAAUGUUAAACUCGAGGUGGACAAUCGAUCCCGGCUGAAUAAUGUAAUUGUCGCAGCAGAAAAAAAAAAAAAACACAAAACAAAAUUUAAAAAUUGUCGCUUUAAAACACGAAAAAAUAGAAUAAUAAUUUUGUCCUACUUGGACGCCGAUAAAAGGCAUUUGGAUACAAAAUGGCGGACCCGCUCACUUACCACUCGGGCUCUCUCUGGGUACUAUUUUUCGCGAACGACUUUAAUCAGACGAUAACCGUGUCCGGUAUCCGGUCCGAACACAGUCUGUAAUAUGAAUUGCCCGCGUAAUUUUUUUCGAUAAGUCCGCUAAGGGAUACUAACAAUAUUGUUACGGUUACCGCCGUAGCGGCUACGCCGAGUCUAAAACGGUUUUUGGAAUGUUUAAAAAAGCCAUUGACUCGCAUUACAUAAAAAAUAAUCUUUAGUACCGAUUUGAUAAUAAUUUAACUCCCGAAAAGCGUUGUGUCGGUGUUUCAUUUUCCCGUUUAACGUUUUCCGUCAUAUCCGUGCGUUAUCACGAAAAAACAUUAUUUUUUUUUAACAGCGGCGUCGUAUUAUUCGCAAACAACAUUAUUCAUUUAAAAAUACGGCUUCUCAAAAAAAUUGAUUUCUGAAAAAAUAUUUUCCCGAGAAAUAAAGUUUCGUUCGAACAAUUUUUCGAUUCGUACGCCGCUUCCAAUAACAACAUUAAUGUCGGCGACCACCACCGGAAAAACAUCGCGGACGAUUUCAAAAUUCAAAAGUGUACAAAUAUAAACAAAUUCACUUUACGAUUGAUCAAAAUAAUUUAAAUGCGAGUAGUGAAAACACCGGUAAAUAAAUAUUGAAAUUUUCAAACUUUGAUCGAAUUUGAAUCUAAUAUAUAUUUGGUAUUAAGGAAGAAUGGCUUAAGUUAAUUGUUUUUGCGUUUUUUUUUUUUUUGUUAUUUGUUUUUAUAAAUGUCCAUGAUUCUCGACAAUUUUUUCGAAAUAUCCAUAAUUUCUAUUUUUUUUGAAAUUUUUAAACUUAAAUUAUUUCACCUAGUUGAUUCGCGCCUUGAGAACCAAUGAUACACGCCCUAGAAUAAAUUAUCGAAUAAGGGCAAUUAAAAGUAUCACUACCUUGACACAAUUUAUACAUCGAUUUGAACUCAUAAACGGACUUGCGACCCUUUCAAAGUGUACGAAUUUUCUCUGGACAGUUAUAAUAUCUUUUUAAUAACAUUUGUUCGAACACGUUCUAAAACGUUUCUUGUAGGUGUACCAAAAUUCGAGUUCUCGGUUCUAAAAUCGAACAACAUCUAUUUUCAAUUUCAUAUUACGAGCGUGCUAAAUAAAAUAUACAAGGAUAUAAUACAAAUAUACAAGAAAAUUACUCUACAAUUGUAUACUUUGCUACUAUGUCAUGAUUAGGGUACGGAUGUAAAUGCACUUAAAAUUCACAAAAAAAAAAAAAUUUAAAAACGACAAAAAAGCUCUAAAAUAUCACUUAAAAAAUAUUCAAAAAAUCUAUAAAGGUAUAGGAGUUUAAAAGUAUUCCCCUCUAUUGUUUAUAAUUUAUUAAGAAUAAUUAAAAAAUAAUUAUUUCAAAGUAAUUUUUUUUCAAAUAUAUUUGUACAUGUUACAAAGAAUAAAAUGUUUUAUGUCAAUCAUUUGUCAGUGUUAGAAAAAUGUAUUUAAUUGUGUGAGAACUGUCAGAACGGGGACACUAAAACUCGUCUCCUAGUUUUUUUUUUUUUAAAUAUUGUUAAGCGCUUUUUUACGAAUUUUAAAUACAUAUAAUUUCGUGCGCCCUAGUUAUUAUCAUUUGGCACUCAUCUAAAUUAUUUGCAACGUUUAUGAAUAAUAAAUUAUCGCUUAAGUAUUGGAAAAUUAAAUUGAAAACGGUGACUGACUUGACCUAAAAAAAAACCUAACCGUGGCUAAAGUCAAGUUUUUAUUUUAUAUAAAUAAAAAAAAAACGCUACAAGUCGAACCAAAUAAUUUCCAGUCGGUUAUAAAUUAAGAAGGACGUGGGGGAAGUGGAGUAGUCUGUUUAUUUUUUAAUUAGACGGCAACGGUAAUUCCAUAAUACGACGCAGCUUUGAGACUAUUAUCGAAUGUUGAGUAACGUUCAGUGAAAUAAUGAUUUCAUGUGGAUAUUAUCGGUUAGGUACUGGUUAAAAAAAAAAAAAAACGUAUACCACGUAGCUGUAGAGAAGUUUUGCUUUGCUGAAAACUUUGAAUUUACUGAAAUAUUCGUCGAACAGUACGUCAAUUUUUCUAAUCGAUUUUCUUUGUUAUUUUCUAAAAACAUAAUCCAAUAUCGUAGACGCGCAGAGAUUCCUAAGCGAUUUUUAAUUUCCUUAGUAUUUUGAAUAUUUUUCGGAUUUAUUUAUAGCCAUUUGAAAUAUUCGAGUUUUCGUGUCAAUGUGCUUUUAUGUGAAAACGAUUUUUUUUUUUUUAAUCGUUUUUAAAUUCUCGAAAAUAUGAUACACGUAAUCCGAUGACGUCGUAAGUCGUUACUGGUGGUCAAAGAAAUUGCAAUCUUACGACAUUUUUUAUUUUUUUUUUUUUCUUCUGUACACGGAAACAAUUCAUAGUCAAACGAAUGACGUGCACGCCGGAAUUCGGACGAACGAACCCGGAAAACGCAAUGCACAGUUACGUAAACAAAUAGGACGUGGACGAAAUAAAUGCCGUCGCGGUGAAAGUGGCGGUGCCGGAGACCCGGGGAAAACGCCGGCGACCGGAAAGAUCGCAUUGCAGUAUAAAUGCAAAGAGACAUUGCUGCUGCACGGAAAAUGAGAAACCGCAUUUAAAACAAACCUCGGACCGUAGUAGAAAUAAUAAUAAAACGCGAAUGGAAGACGAAUGAUUUUCGAUGCAUUUGGACGAUCGUUGAAAGUUUAAACGACGAUUUUAAAGGUCAACAGCGACAUUUCGUUUUCUCCGUCCGUGUCCCGCAUGCAUAUAGUAGGCACUAUACGCACUUUUACGGUUACUAUUGUCUGGUCGGGUCUGUGACAAAGAAAAAUAUUCGAUCGAAAGUUUUUUUUUUUUUUUUUGAUAUUUUAAUUUAUUAUUAUUAUUAUUAUUGUUAUUUUUUCUAUCAAUAUAUAAUUGAGUUUCAAUAAUUUACCCUUAGCAGCCGUUAAAAACUUGUUAAGAAAUUAAAUGAUUAAUAAGAAAAAAAAAAAAAAAACAAUUUUCGGUUCAGAGCGCAAUAAAUAAUGUUUUUUUUUUUUAAUAAACUGUUUAUAAUUCGAUCCUUUUACCGUAAACUCGACCCCGGAGAGUCGUGGAAGUGUGCUAGACGCCUUUGUUGUCGUGUUACGCGCGAGACGGACGGGGAAAACGUAAUAAUAUUUUUACGUCGGCCUCUUAAAAAAAAAAAAAAAAACUAAAAAAAAACGUUUCGGAUCUCCGCGACAAAGAGGUCCGCGCGUAGUCGGCCGCGGAACGAGAUAAUCGUAAUAAUAUUGCAGUUGUUUUUCGCGCCGAACCCCCCGGACGGCCGCAAACGAUUGUUAACACGCGGUAUACAAUAUCGGUUUUGUUGUUGUGCAGGUAUGCGGUAACCGUAUUAGAAACACGGAAAAAAACAACAAACCGCGUAAACUCCGCGCCGCCGGUGUGUACGUUCGCGGGGGAGAGCGCCCGGGAUUCGGGUUGUAAUUAAUUUUAAAGCCGCGCGGUUUUCGAUUAGUUUUAAGCCGAUUUGUAUUUCGCUUUGGAACGUUCAAUACUAAACACGACGCAGCGCAUUCCGCGCCGCUCGCAAUUAUUGCGCGGAUUAAAUGCGCGCCGCCGUCUUCGGGAAUAGCAAAACAUUAUAAUAACAAUAAAAAUAAUAAUAAAUAAUAGUAACAACAGUGACAAUAGUAAUAAUCGUGUAAUAAUUAAUAAACGUGUAGUGUUCUCGUUGCUGCUGCUGCUGCCGCCGCCCCGUGCACCGUACAACGCGUCCGUAAACGGCCACGCGCGACCGUCGGGAAAUCUGUGGAGGGGGGGGGAGGGGCGGGAUAUUAAUUUACGGACGUGUGCCGCGGCGUAUCUGGCGCACAAUCCCCGACCGUAAUGAAACGUACGCGCGUUUACGUUGUUCACGUGUUGCGCGGAUGUGGAGCGGGCGCCCACCCGGUGUACCCGCCGUCGUCGCCGUAGCGCGUUAAUCCCGGUGCCGGACGGUCGUCACGGCGUUGCUGUCGCGACAGCGGCCGUCGCUCGCACGCCGUGCUAGCGGAACGAGUGAGGCCCCCAGGCGGGACAGCGACGGAUGGGAUUUCCGGCGCGAACGGUCGCGGUGUGCGACACUGCCGCGCAACCGGAUUGGCGGACACAAUACGCGUAACGCGGUCUCUUCAAUCGUAUUUAAUUCAAUAUCGCACCCGUUUUUCCGGGUUUUCCGUAUUGAGGGAACGGUUUUUCGGUUUUAAGAAAAUCAAAAAUAAAACGACCUCUUCAUGGUGCCGUCCUCGGAGCGAAUCCCUUGCGGAAAAAAGUGCCGUCGUUGAAAAUCGAAGUGAAAUUUCCGGUAGAAAAGUUGUCAACGGAGAAAAACAAAAAAAUGAAAAUAAAUCGACAUUAUUGUAAAACCAACGCAUUCCUCGCUUCGCUUAGAAUCCGAAAUACUAUCCGCCUAUUAUUUCGAUAGGUUUAUUUACGAAAUACAAAUAGUCGACGUCGUGGUACGGCACUAAAUUGCGAAUUUCAAUACGACCUUUUAUUGUUUUCAGAAAAUAUGAACCAUUUUUUAAUAUCAUUUUCGCGAUUUUUUAAAAUCAAAGUCGUUCGCGUUCGUCCGAUAACCGAACACGUCCGUGGGUCGUUCAGGAAAUACCGAACGCGUUCCCACCGACCCUCGAUUGCCGUAUACGCGUUCACGCGGUAAAAGUGACCGUCGACGAUCGAUUAUAACGCGCGCCUGUGACAGUAAUGUUAGAGUUGCUUUCGCGACAGUUCAACAAUCACUAUCUAUCUGCCUGAACGGCGGUUGUACGCAGCGUGACAACUGUGUAGUGGACCAGGCUUUUCGCGCGAAAACCGAGGGGAUCGUGGCGGGUUUUACAUUCGCGAGAGUUUCGCACCUAUUUGAUUAUUUAACAUCGUACAUUAAACAUUACCGACAAAUAUUGACAACGACAAACGUGUAUUUUAUCUAUGUCGUAUAAGUUGUGAGAAAUGAAAGUGCGCAUAUUAUUUUGGUCGGAGCCAAAAUUCUUCUUUUGUACUCUCGACGUGUUAAAUGUCGGUCCAGAACAUAUCCGUAGUAGGAAUAUCGCUUUUCAAACUCGGCCGUUAUAGACGUCGAGAGGGAAAUUUCUCGUAAUACUAUAACGAUAACGACGUAUUCGAAAAGUACGAUAAAUUGAAAACCGUCGAAUGUACCGGCCAUAGUUAUAUUUCAAUAAUAUUUUAUAACGAUUAUAUUUGUAUUUGUUCAAUAUUUUACUACAUUAUUAUAUUUUCGAAUCGAAGCAAACAAAUUUGUUCGGGGCUUUAGCCUCCCCCGUUCCUUCCAGAUUCUUUACCUCAAUUGCGCCUUCGGGUACAGUGUACAUUUGCACGGUAUUAAGUGGAAAAAAUCGACAAAAAAAAAAAAAAAAAACAAACACGGUCGAAAAUGUGUUUUACAAUAAAUAAUAAACCGAAUGCACGUUAAAAGCAACGACAAUUCACGUUCCUCGUAUACGCGCUUUUUUGUUCCGAGAGCAAGCGAUUUUCUCCUAAGAUAGGGCGCUAUAUACGUGUGUUCCUUUCCGACGCAGCGAAUUUCCCGUCGCGACACGACAAGCUUCUCCGAAAACCGCCACCGCGGUCGUUCCCGUUGCCGGGCUCUGCUGAUCUUGUCUCGGGGUCGAUUAGCCCCGCAAUAGUAUCAGUGGCAGCCGUUUAGAAAGAAACCCCCGGCGACGUCUCGGAGAAAACAAUAACAAUAAUAAUAAUAAUAAUAUCCGCGGGAAUUACUUUUGAAACCGGGUUCGUUCGGUCGUGGUGAAUUUCGCCGCCGCCCGACGUUCGUUCCGGUAAGCCCCGACGCGCGCAAGCGGUAAGAAAAGCCGAAUAUGCUACUAGCGGGGUUAGGAGGGGGGGGAGGAGUUUGGAGAUCAAAAGAUUUAGCGCCGACUACAGUAGACUUUAGCCGAGAACGGGUUCGCCCGGUUUUUCGGUUUAAAAAUUUAUAUUCGAGCGUUGAAUCCUAUUUCGUUGCGGGCUAUAAACGUUACUGUCGACGCAAAAAUAAUGAUUAUCAUAAGUAUUCUAAUAGUAAUUCAACUGAUGCAAUUGAACCAUAUGAAUUCUAAUUCAACAAACACAAAAUUAAUUAAAUUACGUUUAAAAUUUGUCGUCAAGUGAAAAUCGUGCGGUGAAACCAAAUGGAUUGAUUUAUUCUCAUCGAAAUUUAGAUUCAAAGUACAGCGAGGAAGAUAAUAUUUUCGUUUAGCUAAAAUGCAGUUCUUUUCCGUUGGAAAACGGUUUUUCGGUCAGAAAAAUUGUUCCGGAUUGUUCACGUAUCAUUAUUUAAAACAUUCGUAUUUUUCGGUCGGUGGUGCUUUAUCCGAAACAUUUUACUCUCGAUCCCUAAAAGUUUUCUAAAAAAAAAAAAAAAUUAAAAAAACUCAUAACGAAUUUAAUUAAGUCGAUUUUCGCGAUACAAAUACAAGCGUAGGUCAGAUUGUUCUUAAAAUAAAAAUUCUAGGACAUUUAACGUUCUGCCAUUUAUUUUAUUAUUUAAGAAAACAGCUAUAAUGUGGUUAAUGAAAAAUUUACGAGACUGGGUAUACAUUAUUAAUGAUAGUAAACGAAAGCAUCUGACGUUUAAUGUAAAAUUAUUUAUUUUAAGAAAUCAUUCGGCAAAAAAUUUGUGGACUAUCUUGCACCAAUCUAGUACGAGUGUAUUGCCCUCGAAUUUAAAAACAAACGUUUGUUUAAAGAAGAUGUUUAAUGUUAAAAAAACAUGUUGAAAUUAUUAUUUUAAACCUGUGUCUAAUAACUACGUAUAAUGCAUAACUAUUAAACUUAAUAAUCAAAAAGCAAAUCUUUUUUUCUUCUUCUAUUCUAUCAAAUUGUUUACACAUUUUUUUUUUUCUUAUUGAUAUAGUAGUUAAUGUGUAAUUUUUUUUUUUAAAUGCGAUAUAAUUAUGUAAUCUUUUUGUAACCCUCUGCCUUCACCACAAGCUCCCGCUUACAGAAGCCUUAAUUGUGCUUUGUUGAACUGUAACUCUAAUUAAAUAAAAUACAAUUUAAAUAUUAAAUAAAAAAAAAAAAGGCGAAAAAACCUGUUCUAGGACAUUGCUUUUUUUUUUUUGUAUCGCAAUUAUUCAUCAAGAAUUUCAGUACACAAAUUAAAUUACCUUAUAACAUCUCAUCCCUCCCGAAUCCUCCACCUUCAACAGUGACCUACUCGCGGCACGAAAUAUGUCCGGAAUUUCUUUCGGUUUUCUUUGUUCGGUGCAAAUAACUCGAGUAAUAUUAAUUUUGUUCCGAGUUGUUUAAUAUUUAAUGGGCAAGAUUUGAAAAAUUCUCGGAAAAAAUAUUAUAGGUAAGUACAAUAUAUAUAUAUUACAUAUAUACGUAUAAUAAACCGAUCGUAUAUCUCGGAACGGUUUUUCAAAGGUGCGGCCGAUGAUUUAUUAUCGCUAAAAAAUUUACGAUAUUAUAAUACGAAACACCGGAUUUAAUAAUAUUGUGCCCGUAAUUUAUUUUUAUUUUUUUUAAUUGCUCGCAGGCUCAUUAAAACGACGGUUUAAAUAAUAACCGUACAUUUUUCAUCGCGUACAAGAGUAGAUUACCGCAUUUUGUUUUUUUUUUUUGUUUUUUACCUUUUGAAAAAAUACGCUCGUCCAUAAAUUAAAAUUCAAUAGAACGCCGAACGAAAAUUCGCUUUCGAUCGAUAAUAAGUACCGUGGAUCGACACAAACGCGGUGAACGUUUCCGGCAAAUCGACUACACGAAAACUAUACACGGCGAAUUGUUUCUCACUAUUUAUCAGUUUUUGAUUCGAAACAUCUAUAGUACAAUUCGUAUGCAACAAACCAUAGUAGUCGUUGUCCGGCAUAAUAGUCACUGUUGUUUUUAUCGUAAACUAAUUGAUAACAUUUGACCACAGCUAUAGGUAUUUAUGGUGUUUUCGGUCUAUAAACCCUCUACAAUUCACAGCAAUCGUUGCGCGAUAACCGCAGCAGUCGACGGAAUCGGCUGGUUUUUACGCGGUUCGCAACCGAGUUAAACGUUUUUAACGAUCGUUUGUUGUAGGAAAAAUAAGCGGUUUUGGAUUCCGAGUGUAGCGGAGAAGUUUUAUAAAUAUGUAAUUUAUUUCUUUCUCGGAAAAUACUUUUUCGUUUAGUAAAUGUGCUUCGAAGUGUUUGCACCGUACAGAUGCGGAUUUUUCAUUCGGCGGUAUGUACUUUAUUUGAAUCGUUAUUCCAGAUUCUCGGCAGUUUUUCGAAAAUACUGACAACGAAUGACGGUACAUGGGUUUCUUUUUUUUUUUCUUUUUUUUUUUCGAUUUCCGGUAAACGUCGGUUACAAGACGUUAAAAACCGAUAGUCUAAUUAUAAUUAUAUUAACGUUACUCGCAAACACCCGAGACCUGCGGUUUGUUUUGGAUUUUUAAACAUUUUUUUUUCGCAUUUCUAACAUUGAACUUCGAAAUUGACGUUCCGUUAAAUUUUUACAACCGAAAGCUUUUUUUUUCCGGUGACUUGUUCAACAAUAUUAUUUCCUUGUACUUCCCCGCUUAUAAGUGACCUUUUUAGGUUAACGCUAUACGCCAUAUUAAAUCCACCCUGCACCCACCCGUCGUUUUGGCCCCGAAGCGAUCGCUAUUAGGUACUUUGCUUCGCAUAAUCCCCUGUUCCUCGCCAGCGAACGCGAUUGGCCUUUGGUGGGAUAACGGUGUGAAUAUGUGCUGUAGUAUGCUAAUUUUGUGAUUAACGUUCGAGUUUGCACACCAAAGUCGUGUACCGAUUAUUAACAGAACACCGUGUCGCGUAGGUACACGAAUCACAAUGCGACGACUGCAAUGGCGACGGUUACUAAUCCAUUCGUUUGUCCGCACAAACAUCGGUCGGACCGCGUUGUACAUCACGCGAAUAAACACGGCGACUAUUGUCGAGCUUAUAGGCACUCGGAUAAUUGAACCGUCGACAAUUUUGGUUUGGACAAAACUAUCUGGUCGUAUAGAUACACGGCACGUAAACAAGACUCAUAAAUCGACAUUGAUCAAACUGACCUAAAACAGGAUCUGGGGGGUGAACACCAUAAUUUAUCGAUUAAUCGUUACGAAUAAAACACCGCCGGCCGGAAUUUUUUUUAACUUUUUGAUACACCGCGUGAAAAUAUCGCAGCAUUUUUACCGACCGUAAAGCGUUUUGCGAGAUAAACAAAACCAUAGGAAUUAGGAAGGCCGAAAUGUGUCUCCCCGGUCCGAUUUCAUUCAGAUUAAGUGCUAUCAUUGUGUGGCUGAAAAGUUGCCCACAGAUAAGGAAAAAAACGUG
RNAcentral lists this long non-coding RNA (10280 nucleotides) under Cinara cedri. Lineage: Eukaryota; Metazoa; Arthropoda; Insecta; Hemiptera; Aphididae. The record is from RNAcentral.